Molecule: long non-coding RNA, 241 nt
Filed under: Brassica rapa (field mustard)
Lineage: Eukaryota; Viridiplantae; Streptophyta; Magnoliopsida; Brassicales; Brassicaceae
Description: long non-coding RNA (BRAP_LNC001683)
Source: RNAcentral
GAAAUCGUGUUCUUUGAAAUUCUAACAUUGGUGUGGGUGAGCAUCUUAAUUCUUGACUCCUUUGCCUUUCUCUUAUGUUUAUUUUAAAUUAAAAUUACAAUUUACAACUAAUCCGAGUAUGACAAUUUGGCUUUGACGUGCUUAAAACUAGUUUUAAAAUCAUAACGCGUUGAUUUUUUUUUUUUAGAAUUUCGAUGUCUUGUUUUUGAAACAUUCUAAUUACAUUGUUUUAUAAAGUGUU